AGAGUUUGAUCCUGGCUCAGGAUGAACGCUGGCGGCGUGCUUAACACAUGCAAGUCGAACGGAGAUAGUUUUGUAGCAAUAUAAAGCUAUUUUAGUGGCGGACGGGUGAGUAACGCGUGAGGAACCUGCCUCGGAGUGGGGGAUAACACAUUGAAAGGUGUGCUAAUACCGCAUGACAUAUCCCGAUCGCAUGAUGCUGAUAUCAAGAUUUAUCGCUCCGAGAUGGCCUCGCGCCUGAUUAGCUUGUUGGUGGGGUAACGGCCCACCAAGGCUUCGAUCAGUAGCCGAGCUGAGAGGUUGGCCGGCCACAAAGGGACUGAGAUACCGCCCAGACUGGUACGGGAGGCAGCAGUGGGGAAUAUUGGGCAAUGGGCGCAAGCCUGACCCAGCAACGCCGCGUGAAGGAAGAAGGCCCUCGGGUUGUAAACUUCUUUUGUCGGGGACGAAACAAAUGACGGUACCCGACGAAUUUGCCACGGCUAACUACGUGCCAGCAGGGGCGGUAAUACGUACCUGGCAAGCGUUAUCCGGAUUUACUGGGUGUAAAGGGCGUGUAGGCGGGAGUGCAAGUCAGAUGUGAAAAUUAUGCCCUCAACCCAUUUCCUGCAUUUGAAACUGUAUUUCUUGAGUGAUGGAGAGGCAGGCGGAAUUCCGUGUGUAGCGGUGAAAUGCGUAGAUAUACGGAGGAACACCAGUGGCGAAGGCGGCCUGCUGGACAUUAACUGACGCUGAGGCGCGAAAGCGUGGGGAGCAAACAGGAUUAGAUACCCUGGUAGUCCACGCUGUAAACGAUGGAUACUAGGUGUGGGGGGUCUGACCCCCUCCGUGCCGCAGUUAACACAAUAAGUAUCCCACCUGGCCAGUACGAUCGCAAGGUUGUUACUCAAAGGAAUUGACGGGGGCCCGCACAAGCGGUGGAGUAUGUGGUUUAAUUCGAAGCGACGCGAAGAACCUUACCAGGGCUUGACAUCUUACUAACGACGCAGAGAUGCAUUAGGUGCCCUUCGGGGAAAGUAGAGACAGGUGGUGCAUGGUUGUCGUCAGCUCGUGUCGUGAGAUGUUGGGUUAAGUCCCGCAACGAGCGCAACCCUUAUUGUUAGUUGCUACGCAAGAGCACUCUAGCGAGACUGCCGUUGACAAAACGGAGGAAGGUGGGGACGACGUCAAAUCAUCAUGCCCCAAAUGUCCUGCCCCACACACGUACUACAAUGGCGGUUAACAGACCGAAGCAAGACCGCGAG
This 1241-nucleotide ribosomal RNA is filed under the name uncultured bacterium. Its description in RNAcentral is "bacterial SSU rRNA". It matches the Rfam family "Bacterial small subunit ribosomal RNA", at positions 8 to 1261 of the family's 1533-position model. The record is from RNAcentral.